This 472-nucleotide ribosomal RNA is filed under the name Amphora calumetica. Its description in RNAcentral is "eukaryotic LSU rRNA". It matches the Rfam family "Eukaryotic large subunit ribosomal RNA", at positions 50 to 549 of the family's 3401-position model. Lineage: Eukaryota; Bacillariophyta; Bacillariophyceae; Surirellales; Surirellaceae. The record is from RNAcentral.
GCGGAGGAAAAGAAACUAACCAGUAUUCCCCCAGUAACGGCGAGUGAAGCGGGAAGAGCUCAUAUUGUGAAUCAGUGGUUGAAUUGUGGUCUAUAGAAACUUGCACUAUAACGCUGGACCAAGUCCCUUGGAACAGGGCAGCUGAGAGGGUGAGACUCCCGUACGUCUAGUUUUUGGAGCGUGUUUCAACGAGUCGAGUUGUUUGGGAUUGCAGCUCAAAGCAGGUGGUAAAUUCCAUCGAAAGCUAAAUAAGGGUGGCAGACCGAUAGCGUACAAGUACCGUGAGGGAAAGAUGCAAAGCCGCGCGAAAGCGCUGUUAAAGAGUACCUGAAAUUGCUGAAAAGGAAGCGAAGGAAACCAGUGCCAGCAUGGUCAUACUUCCCUGUCUGCUUGCGGAUAGGGCGCUGUGUCCAGCCUUGUCAUUGUAUAUUGUACUGUCAGGAAAUGUGCCUUGAGAGUUGAUCUAGGUGGC